GAAGGCUGAAAUUCGCCUUCAUGAAGCCGGAAUUGCUAGUAAUGGCAGGUCAGCAUACUGCCGUGAAUACGUUCCCGGGCCUUGUACACACCGCCCGUCACACCAUGAGAGUUGGAGAUACCCGAAGCCUGUGAGCUAACAAACGAGGCAGCAGUCGAAGGUAGAAUCAAUGAUUGGGGUGAAGUCGUAACAAGGUAAC
Molecule: ribosomal RNA, 199 nt
Filed under: uncultured bacterium
Lineage: Bacteria
Description: partial 16S ribosomal RNA
Rfam family: Bacterial small subunit ribosomal RNA
Source: RNAcentral